UACGGAGGGUGCAAGCGUUAUCCGGAUUCACUGGGUUUAAAGGGUGCGUAGGCGGGCUUGUAAGUCAGUGGUGAAAGCCCGGGGCUUAACUCCGGAAUUGCCGUUGAUACUGCAAGCCUUGAGUACGGUUGAGGUGGGCGGAAUACAUCAUGUAGAGGUGAAAUUCUUAGAUAUGAUGUAGAACACCGAUUGCGAAGGCAGCUCACUAAAGCGUAACUGACGCUGAGGCACGAAAGCAUGGGGAUCAAACAGG
RNAcentral lists this ribosomal RNA (253 nucleotides) under uncultured bacterium. Its description in RNAcentral is "partial 16S ribosomal RNA". It matches the Rfam family "Bacterial small subunit ribosomal RNA", at positions 524 to 776 of the family's 1533-position model. The record is from RNAcentral.